This 390-nucleotide ribosomal RNA is filed under the name Colletotrichum gloeosporioides. RNAcentral's name for it is "LSU rRNA". It matches the Rfam family "Eukaryotic large subunit ribosomal RNA", at positions 1 to 393 of the family's 3401-position model. The record is from RNAcentral. Lineage: Eukaryota; Fungi; Ascomycota; Sordariomycetes; Glomerellales; Glomerellaceae.
GUUGACCUCGGAUCAGGUAGGAAUACCCGCUGAACUUAAGCAUAUCAAUAAGCGGAGGAAAAGAAACCAACAGGGAUUGCCUCAGUAACGGCGAGUGAAGCGGCAACAGCUCAAAUUUGAAAUCUGGCCCCAGGCCCGAGUUGUAAUUUGCAGAGGAUGCUUUUGGUGCGGUGCCUUCCAAGUUCCCUAGAACGGGACGCCAGAGAGGGUGAGAGCCCCGUACAGUUGGACACCAAGCCUUUGUAAAGCUCCUUCGACGAGUCGAGUAGUUUGGGAAUGCUGCUCAAAAUGGGAGGUAUAUUUCUUCUAAAGCUAAAUACCGGCCAGAGACCGAUAGCGCACAAGUAGAGUGAUCGAAAGAUGAAAAGCACUUUGAAAAGAGGGUUAAAC